Molecule: long non-coding RNA, 5424 nt
Organism: Peromyscus californicus insignis
Lineage: Eukaryota; Metazoa; Chordata; Mammalia; Rodentia; Cricetidae
Exons: 3
Source: RefSeq, a predicted model, not a curated record
UUGAUUCUUUUGUCUCCCAACAGUUAUUUCACACUAAGAUGCUGAGUGCUAAGCUGUUUUCCUGUCAAAGAGAAACUAUGCUGAUAGAAUAGGUCUUUGUUCGCCUUUCUUUUCGGGAGUUGAGUGAUAGCAAUGUGAAAGAAGCAAGAAACAGGAGGAAGGAAGCAGGUUGAGGACUUCCUUCGGCUCUCACGCUGCUCUCUCUGCACCACACAAUUUAUGGGGAGCCGUGCUUUGUCUGAAGUGGAUUUAACCUGGGUUUUGGAGCCCACAGGUGGCAUUACUUAGGUUGGAAGAAAAGUGAUUUCUGAGCAAUGUACUCUAAACCUUGUGACUGUCUUGUCAGGACAACAGAGUUCAGCCUGUGCUCCAGGACAGGUGAGGGACUCUCCCGGGAGGAAAUGGAAGUUGCCACGGUUUGUCCUGAUAGAUAGGCAGACAGACCAGAGAGAAGUCCACCACAUGCUGAGGACAGAGACAGGUAGGGAUCUGAAUUAGGAGUCCAGUGUGGUGAUAAUUCAUCUGUGUCCCCCAAUAAAAUUUAUCUAAAGAUCAGAGGAUAAAGGUCAGUCACUAUUAGUAAAAACAGAAGUCAUGCAAUGUUAGCAAACACCCUUAAUCCAUCUGUAUCUCUGUGAGUUCAAGGUCACACUAGGGAAUAGAGCCAAGCAUGGUGACACACGCCUUUAAUCCCAGCAUCCACCAUAGAGUUCUGGAGGUCUGGGCAGACAGACAGGAAGUGAUGUAGCUUGGUGGAGAGAGGAAAUGAGUUAGCAGAAUAGAAAGCUAUAUGUCUGUUUAGACAGGAAGUCGCUCACUUUGGAAGCUGCAGCGAGGUGAGGUAAGGUUAGCUGGUGGCUGUUCCAAUUCUUCUGAUCUCUGUCAGAUUUUCACCCCUAUUUCUGGCUCCGUGUUUUUUAUUUAAUAAGACCGCUUAGAAAUUCGUCUACAAUCCAGCAUGUAGAGAUGGAGAAAUUCACAGCAAGAGUGGAGUCUGCACUGCUUGAGAGCCUGUGGGGAGGGAAGCAAAGACCUUUAAAUGAAAGUAAGAGGCUAGAAGCAUCAAAAGUAACCACUGUCUGCAGAAAUGGGAGAGAAAGCCUGGAGACCUUUCUUCUCUUAAGAGCUGUAGAUGAAGAAUGGCAUGCAUCCCUUCACAGCUCAGAGACCAGAACCAGUCACAUGGCCUCAGCAGUGAAGAAAGGAAGUGCUUAGACUUCUGAGAGCGUUUAGGGACCAUGAAAUAUUUCAGGUCUUUCUCUCGACAAUUUUUUUUUAGUUGGUGAGCCAAAAUAUAAAAUUAUGAGUUUAAAACUCUUGGCUGAGGGGAAGGUGGGUGUUAAGACUUUCUGGAAGGAAUGCUAGCUCCUCCAUUUUCUAGCUACGUAUAUUUAGUGUGUCUUCCUGGUUUUAUUGUCCCUCAGUCUCCUUCCUGUAAAAUGGGGGUAAUUAUUCUUUCUAUCUUUGGAACUUGUUCAAAAGCUAGGUAUGGUACUGGUUUUUGUUGUAAAUUCUUCUAGAGUGUAAUAGCAGAAACUGUGUUAUUCUCUUUUUAUCACUUUAUAAAGUGGGAAUGAGGUAAAUACAGGAAUUAUUCUGACUUUAACAUCUUGGUCCUGAGUGUCUUGGUGCUUAGUAAAAUUCUUUGUAUGGAAGAAAGGGUACUGGGGUUUGGGCAGCAGAAAAGAACGGGAAGUCAUCACUGCAGCUGCAGCUGCCAAUCGUCAUGUUUCUAAGAAGGGCUUGGGCCAGCUUAUUUCUAUAAAGACCUGGCCUUAUUGACACUGCACAGCUUUAUUCACCACUUACCAAGGGAAAAUAUCUUCACGUAGUGGCAAAAUCUGCCCACAAACGUGGGGAGUAUAGUCAACAUUUAAUCCUUAAUAUCACCCUCAGUAGGCGCAGAAAAAAAGAAAAAGAAAAAAAUACAGGACUUUAAAAAUAAAAAUGCCUUUUUCUUUUCAGUUAAAUAAAAAGUCUGGAGAAGCUAGAGAGGUCACCCAGAUGUGAAGAGUACUACUAGCUGCUCUUGGAUGUGGGUUUAGUUCCUAACUCCUACAUCCUGGCCUAUACCCAUCGGUAGCUCCAGCCUCAAGGAGCCCAACACUCCCUUCUGGCUUCCUUGGGUACCAGACACACAAAGAAUGCACAGGCAUACAUGCGGGCAAACACUCAAACACAUCAAAUAAAAAUGAACAGAUCUUUUUUUAAACAUUGAGAAAAGACUCACAUAAGACCAACCAACCAUUUUAAAGUACAUAAUUCAGCUGUUUUAAAUAUAGUCAAAUUUUAUGUAAAUACCAUCUUAAUCUUCUCUCAAAGCAUUUCAAAGUCUAAAACGAAGCCCUGUGUCCAUCACAUAGUCCUUCUUCAUUCUGCCUCCCAAAUCCCCCAAAAGCAAAACUUUUAUAAGUGAACCUAUAAAUUUACCUAUUCUGUAUAUUUAAUAAACAGUAAUCAUACCCUAUGUGACCUUUUGUGUCUGGAUUCCUCUUUUUAUAUUUUAAUUGUGUGUGUGUGUGACUAUGGUGUGUAUAUGUGACUGUGGUGUGUGGGUGACUAUGGUGUGUAUGUGUGACUGUGGUGUGUGUGUGUGACUAUGGUGUGUAUGUGUGACUGUGGUGUGUGUAUGUGUGUGUGAGAGACUGUGGUGUGUGUGUGUGACUAUGGUAUGUAUGUCUGACUGUGGUGUGUGUAUGUGUGUGUGUGAGACUGUGGUGCGUGUGUGUGUGUGUGUGCGCGCGUGCGCGCGCGCACACACGCACACGCGCGGCUAUGAUGUGUAUGUGUGACUGUGGUGUGUGUAUGUGUGCGUGUGAGACUGUGGGGUGUGUGUUACUGUGGUGUGUAUUUGUGUGUGUGUGCAUGUGUGUACAUGUACAUGUGUGCAGCACCCUAGGAGAACAGAAGAAGCCAUCAGAUUUGUGGAUCAGGCUGUGAGCCACCCAACAUGAAUUCUGAGAUUGUAACUCAGGUCCUCCACCAGAGCAUCAAGCACCACUGAACCAUUUCUUUAGUUCCCAUUGUGUCUGGAUUCUUUCACUUGCUAUGUUUCAAAAUUCAUGUUGUAGCAUGCAUCGUUCCUUUUGAUAGCUGAAUAAUACUCCAGUAUAAGGGCAUACUCUUUUCUCUAAUCUUUUCAUCAGUAGAGACAAAGUUGUUCCCACUUUUUGUCUACUGUGAAUAGUGCUUCCAUGAAUAUUCAUAAACAACAUUUUGUUUGAACAUCUGUUUUCAGUUCUUUGGGAUGGGAGCAGAAUUAAGGUCAUAUGAUAAUUAUGAAUUUAACGCUUUUGGUGGUGAUGCCCAGUUAUUUUCUGCAGUAGCUUCAUCAGUUUUGAUUCCCACUGGCAUUGUGCAGACAUUCUAAUUUCUCUACGUCCUUAUUACUACUAGUUAAUUUAUUUUAUUUAAUAACCAUCCUAGUUUAUGUGAGUUGGUAGCUCACUAGGGUUUUAAUUUCACAUUCCAUGUUCUUGUUGGACAUCAGUAUAUGUUCUUUGGAAGAAUAUCCAUUCAAAUCCUUUCCCUGUCUUUGUUUGGAUUUUUGUCUUUCUGUUGCAGAAAUGUAAGAGUUUAUUGUUAAUGUACAUUUGAUUCCAUGAACUUAUCAUAUAAAUAGUUUUCAAAUAUUCUUUCUAUUCUUCAAUUUGUUGUUCAGUUUCUUGAUAAUGUUUUAUAAUUCACAAAAAUUAAUAACAUAAUAAUAAUGUGCAUGGAGUAUAGCAUCCUAUUAAAACCAGUGCAUAGAUAAAACCAGAGCAAUUAUCAUAUCAUUUCUUUAUCAGUUUCAUGGUUGAAAUCUUCAAAUCCCUCUUUUAAAGUUCUUUAAAAGGCCCAGAAAGACAAAUGCAUCCACUUAUAAGUGAAUAUUAACCGUUAAGUAAAUGAUAAUCAAGCCAUAACCCACAGACCUAGAGAGGUUAGGUAAAGAGAGGGGCUCUAGAGGGGAUGCAUGCAUCUCCCUGGGAAGGAGAAAUAGAACAGAUUUUGUUGGUGGACUGGGGCUGGGGACAGGAGUUGGGGGAAUCAGGUGGAGGGGAAGGACAGAGGCAGAAAGUGAAAGGAGAGACAGCUGGAAUUUGUGGGGCAUUUGGGGGAGGCAUAGAAGCCUAGUGCAGUGGAAACUUCCUGGAAUCUGUGAGGAGGACCCUGGUGGGGACUCCUAGUAAUGGGGGAUACAGAGUCUGAAAGGGCCAUCUUUUCUAACCAAGCAAUGCUUCCAGUGGUGGACUAGGGUUACAAUAGGUCAAGUUGUUGGCCAAGGAGAUCCCCAAACAACCCAGGCUGAUGCUAGGACAGAGGGUCAUUCUCUGAAAACUUACAAUGGGACCCCAUUACUGAGGACAACAUCCACACAGCUUAUUGCAAAUAGAGAGGUCAAACUGAUGCCUGCAUGGAGCCUUCACUUCUACAUUCUAGUCUCUUUGGUUUAGGAAGACACUCUGCAGGCUACAAAAGGGGAAACCAGAACACCAACCCAGCCACAAAACUGUUAACCUACAAUCUGUCCUGUCUGAAAGAUGUGCUGGGGAAAUGGUGGAACAGAACUUGAGGGACUGGCUAACCAAUGUCUGGUUUAACUUGAGGUCCAUGCCAAGAGAGUCACCCCAUGCCCGACACUGCUUGGAUGGCCAGGAACAAGAGAAGAGAUAGACCAGAGACCUAGGGUAGAACCAAACACAACUGACAAAAGGAAAAAUAUUCAAUGAAAUAAUUCCUAAUGAUAUUCUACUGUACUCAUAGAUUGAUGCCUUGUUCAGCUGUCAUUAGAGAGACUUCCUCCGGCAGCAGAUGGGAGUGGGUGCAAAGACCCAUAGCCUAACAUUAUGUGAAGAGAGAUUCUAAAUUGGAGGUUUCCAUCCCAUCAAAACCUUACCCUGGAAGCUCAGGGGAUCCCAGGAAGAGCAGGUAGAAAGAUUGUGGGAGUCAGAGGGGAUGGAGGAAACCAAGAGAAUGUGACCCACUGAAUCAACUAAGCAGGGCUCACAGAGACUGCAUCAGGUCCUCUACAUAAAUGUUGUGCCUGUUAGCUUUGUCAUUUCGUGGGACUCCUAACAGUGGGAGUGGAUGUGUCUCUGACUCUUUCAUGUGCUCCUGGGACUCUUUUUCUCCUAUUAGAUUGCCUUGUCCAGCCUCAGUUUGAGGGCUUUUUGCCUUGUCUUAUUGUAUCUUUCUUUAUUGUGCUUGGUCGUUGUCUUCUGGAGGCUCAUUUCUUUCUGAAGAGAAAUGGAGGGGGAGUGGGUCUAGGGGAGAGGGAAGGUGGGGGGAAGAACUGGUAGAAAAGAAACUGUGGUCAGGAUGUAUUGUAUGAGAGAAGAAUCUAUUUUCAAUUUAAAAAAUUUAAGUAGCUUGCCUGCUUUUAAGAACUACACACUCCCCACUCUGUGCUAUUGAACCCUAGAUCUACUUUUUAUCUGACUG